UAUUUACUUGAUUACUUGAAAGGUGGAGCAAACUGCAAUAUGCAGUCUUAGCAAAAAAAAAAUAAAAUAUCUUUUUGCUUUUGCCUAAAUAAAUGAUCCACCCAAUUAACCCCAUAUUACAUUUACCCGUUUCCUUACCAUUCUAAUGGAAUUCGGCUGCUACAGCGUACAGUGAUAACGAACGAUACAAAAAAAUGAGCUUUGCAAUUUCAAAGCGAAGACUCCGUUAGGGUUCUUCUAUAUUCCUAACCAGGAAUACUACCAUGGAAGUUGUUGUGAGAUAUGUUGAGUAACACAAGCGAACUAAGCCUUCCAAUGGAUUUUGGGAUUCCUGUUUUUUCUUCAUCCACUUUCAUCAUCGCUGUAAAAUUUUUGAAAAGAUUAGAUGGCAAAGUUCCAGUGAACCCAUUGAAGGAAAGGUCAAAGAUUCGUAACUCCG
This is a non-coding RNA of Nicotiana tabacum (common tobacco), 439 nucleotides long. The record is from RefSeq and is a predicted model, not a curated record. NCBI's taxonomy places the organism in Eukaryota, Viridiplantae, Streptophyta, Magnoliopsida, Solanales, Solanaceae.